RNAcentral lists this transfer RNA (73 nucleotides) under Eremias argus. RNAcentral's name for it is "tRNA-Thr". It matches the Rfam family "tRNA". Rfam says of the family: Transfer RNA (tRNA) molecules are approximately 80 nucleotides in length. The record is from RNAcentral. Lineage: Eukaryota; Metazoa; Chordata; Lepidosauria; Squamata; Lacertidae.
GUUCUGGUAGCUUAAACAGCCUAAAGCCCUGGUUUUGUAAGCCAAAGACGAGAUAACUAACUCUCCCAGAACA